AACGCUGGCGUUCGGCUUAAACAGGCAAGUCGAGCGGGCGUAGCAAUACGUCAGCGGCAGACGGGUGUGUAACGCGUGGGAACGUACCUUUUGGUUCGGAACAACACAGGGAAACUUGUGCUAAUACCGGAUACGCCCUUACGGGGAAAGAUUUAUCGCCGAUUGAGCGGCCCGCGUCCGAUUAGCUAGUUGGUGAGGUAACGGCUCACCAAGGCGACGAUCGGUAGCUGGUCUGAGAGGAUGACCAGCCUCACUGGGACUGAGACACGGCCCAGACUCCUACGGGAGGCAGCAGUGGGA
Molecule: ribosomal RNA, 300 nt
Filed under: uncultured Alphaproteobacteria bacterium
Lineage: Bacteria; Pseudomonadati; Pseudomonadota; Alphaproteobacteria
Description: bacterial SSU rRNA
Rfam family: Bacterial small subunit ribosomal RNA
Source: RNAcentral